GAACUAUACUGGUGUUGUCCCACCCGAUUCCAUUUCGAACUCGGAAGUGAAAUGCACCAAGGCCGAUGAUAGUGGAUUUUCCGCGAAAGUAGGUAGUU
This 98-nucleotide ribosomal RNA is filed under the name Parcubacteria group bacterium ADurb.Bin247. The record is from RNAcentral.